RNAcentral lists this long non-coding RNA (487 nucleotides) under Capra hircus (goat). RNAcentral describes it as "lncRNA (ENSCHIG00000002562.1)". The record is from RNAcentral. Lineage: Eukaryota; Metazoa; Chordata; Mammalia; Artiodactyla; Bovidae.
UAAUAGCUUUCUUAUUGAUUUAUAAGGUUUUGGUGUUAUGUGUCUUUUUUUUUUUUUUAAGACAGGAAGAAUGAGUCUUGGAAAAGAGAAGAAAAUCAUUAUGAAAAAUCAGCCCAGGCAUAGAAGUCAAUUCAGACAGAGCUUGGGAGUGCUGCUAAAUAUGAGAUGUAAAGUGGUGAUAUUGGUGGAGGACCAAGGGAGAGCAUUUUCAAGCACCUUCCAUGUGAGAAACUGCUGGAGUCCCUGGUCUCCAGUGAUUCACAGUCUGGUGAUAAAAAACAUGAACGGAAAACACCGAACCUUAAUGAAAUGUGGUGCAGUGAGACAGAGAUGAGAAUGAGAAUCUGCCAAGCACUAGGAAACAAUAUUAAAUGAGCACCUUGAGGAAACUGCAAAGUAGUUUCUCAGGAUUUCCAAUUCCAGGUAUCUUACUUUGGAACUUUUAUAUUACUUUGAUAUCACUUAUAAAAUGCUCCAUUUCUGAAAC